AGAAGAGUAAGGUACCCCAUACUUUUAUCUUUAUCAGUGGGCCAAAGUCCCUUUAAGAGAGAAAUGAAAGUAAAUCUAGCUGAUUGGUUACCUUACAAACAUCACAGGUGGAAUUAGCAGUGAGUGUACAGAAGCUUUAGACUUUAAGCUCACAGUUGUCUAAGAAGAGAACACUUCCAUGGAUCCACUUGUGAUUCUGGUGCUCUGUCUCUCCUGUUGGCUUCUCCUUUCUCUCUGGAAACAGAACAUUGGGAAGGGGAAGCUCCCGUCUGGCCCUCGUCCUCUCCCUUUUAUUGGAAAUAUCCUACAGGUAGAUGUGAAGAACAUCGGCAAAUCCUUAUGCAAUGUAAGUAUGCUUUAUGCUCCUCCAGCAGUUUGCAAAGGGUAUGUAUAUUAACCUCUGCUUUUAAAUAAAAUAUCUUUAUGAAAAUAUAUUAAAUUAUAGUAUAUUAAAAUAAAAACAUCAAGAUAUAUCUAUAAAGCAAAUACUCCUUGCGGAGUAUUGUCAAGAAUAGUGGAAUAAGGGGUGCCUGGCUGGGUCAGUCAGUAGAGCGUGCAACUCUUGAUCUCAGGGUCAUGAGUUUGAGCCCCACAAUGGGUGUAGAGAUCACUUUUAAAAAAUAGUGUAAUAAAAUAAUGUUUUCUAUGAAUAGAGAAAUAUUUAGGUCAUUCUUUGGUAUCAUCAAAAUAAUCAAAUGGCAAAAGUGAGGAAUGUUGCUGCCCUUCUUUGUUUCAGAGACAUUUGGUAUGACUUCUGGCUGGAGGUAAACGGUAAGGGAGGUAGUUUGUGAUUGGAGAUUUCAUUCGAGAAGUCAUCUACUACAUAAACUGUGUGUUUUAUUCAGAAUAGUCAUGAAAAUUGAACUCUGAAGAAGCAAAUUGUGCCUGAUGUCAAGGAAGUAGUUUUGAAUAGUAGUUCAUUUGCAUGAGUGAAUGAAAGAAAAAAAUCCUUGGGGCCAGCUGGAUGGUAACAGAAUCCCUUUGGAUUCUGUACAGAACUGCUGUCUGUACCCCCAAGAAUGCUGCAAGAAAGAAGCAAUUCUCCUUCUAUGAGAUGCUGGUCUCUGUGAUGCUUGCUCUCUUUUUAUGUUAGUAAUAGCAGCAGAUCUCAAAGUGGAGUGGGCCUUAGCAUCAUCUGUGGUGAUUUUUUAAAAAAAAUACAUAAUUCUAGUGUACAUCGUAAGGCUACAGAGAUAGAAUCUCCAGGGGAUGAGCUUUACAGAUGAUCCUGAAACCAUCAGCUGGGUAUUGGUCCCCAGGUAGGCACUGGGGACUGGUAAAUUGCUCAGGCAUCAGAGGUAUGCCAAGCAGGGUUGAAACUGGGUGUUCUGUUAUUAGACACUGGAAAUAUAUAGGAAAUUCUUUGAACUUCAGUCUCUCUAUACAACAGGGUAAAUAAACCUCGCUCAAGGUGUUGCUGUGAUGGCUAGUUGUAAUAAUCUGAGUAAUAAUAGUCUGGGCCAUUGCCUGUCACAUCAGUGGCCCUCUCUAUGUGUCGGCUGUAACAAUCUUAUUUAUACAUAACAUCCAGAAAUAGGUGAAGCUACGUUCGGCAGAAUAAAAACAUCAACAAUAUGAUGAUGAUAUCAGGUUAAUCAUGCACACACACACAAAUGCACAAAAUACAGCCAAAUUGUGACUUCUUUGGGUAAUAAUAUAUACAUUUUCUUUGCGCUUCUCAGCUCUCAAAAACCUAUGGCCCAGUUUUCACUCUGUAUUUUGGCAUGAAGCCUGCUGUUGUGCUGCAUGGAUAUAAGGCAGUGAAGGAAGCCCUGAUUGAUCUAGGAGAAGAGUUUUCUGCAAGAGGAAGUUUCCCAUUAGCUGAAAGAAUUAGUAAAGGACAUGGAAUCCUUUUCACCAAUGGAAAGAGAUGGAAGGAGAUGCGGCGCUUCUGCCUCAUGACCCUGCGGAAUUUGGGGAUGGGGAAGAGUGACCUUGAGAGCCGAGUUCAAGAGGAAGCCUACUACCUCAUGGAAGAGUUGAGAAAAACCAAUGCCUUACCCUGUGACCCCACUUUUGUCCUGGGCUGUGCUACCUGUAAUAUGGUCUGCUCCGUUAUUUUCCAAAAUCAUUUUGAUUAUACAGAUCAGACUUUACUUGGCUUCCUGGAAAAAUUUAAUGAAAACACCAAGAUUUUGAGCUCCUCAUGGGUCCAGGUCUACAAUAGUUUCCCUGAUCUCAUUGAUUACCUCCCAGGAAGUCAUCGCAAAAUAUUUAAAAAUUUUACUUGUGUACACAAUUAUAUUUUAGAGAAAAUCAAAGAACACCAAGAAUCCUUGGACAUUAACAAUCCUCGGGAUUUCAUUGAUUACUUCUUGAUCAAAAUAAAACAGGAAAACCACAGUCAGCAGUUGGAGUUCACUAUUGAAAACUUGAUAGCCACUGCAAGUGAUUUGUUUGGAGCUGGGACAGAGACCACAAGCACCACCCUAAGAUAUGCUCUCCUGCUCCUGCUGAAGCACCCGGAAGUCACAGCUAAAAUCCAGGAAGAGAUUGGCCAUGUAAUUGGCAGACACCGGAGCCCCUGCAUGCAGGACAGGAGCCGCAUGCCCUACAUGAAUGCAGUGUUGCAUGAGAUCCAGAGAUACAUUGACCUUAUCCCAGUCAACCUGCCACAUGCAGUGACCCGUGACAUUAAAUUCAGAAACUAUGUCAUCCCCAAGGGCACAAAUGUACUAAUAUCACUGACUUCUGUGCUACGUGAUGACAAAGAAUUUCCCAACCCAGAGACAUUUGACCCUGCCCAUUUCCUGGAUGAUAGUGGCAACUUUAAGAAGAGUGACUACUUCAUGGUUUUCUCAGCAGGAAAACGGACUUGUGUGGGAGAAAGCCUGGCCCGUAUGGAGCUGUUUUUAUUCCUGACCUCCAUUUUACAGAAUUUUACCCUGAAACCUGUGGUCGACAUAAAGGACCUUGACACCACCCCAGUUGCCAGUAUUCUAAGGCUUUAAGUUUUCCUCUAAGUGUCCUGUGUUGGAUGUAUCCCCAUAAAUUCUGCCUCCAGAACCACCCAUCCCCCACAAUGCAGCUCUAUUCCCAACCUCAUCAGUCAUCACACCCAUGACAGUUGCUCAGUUACAAUCAAGAUCACCUCUCUGAAAGUUCCACACACUUGAUCACUGCACUUACCGUUCCCUGGACCUACUUUAUGUCUGUUCAUCUAAGCUAUAGUUUCUUCAAAACCUACCUCAUCUGUGAAGAUUUCCUAGUGCCACUCCAAAGAGAGAUGAAUCCUGGGUGACACUAGAUGCCAUGUGUUGAAGAUAUCAAGGCUCCUGUCAACCUGGUGCCUGAAAAGGCUAUUGUGCCAACCCCUUCACUUCACUACUGUCAUGAACCCAGUGACCCACCAGAGGACUGGACAGUUUAAGGCCAGCUCCAGAAACAAAUGGAAGACAGUUCAAGUACUUAAUAUAAAAACCUUUUUAAAUUUCUUCUUCCUUCCUUCCUUCCUUUCUUCUUUCUUUCUUUCUUUCUUUCUUUCUU
Prionailurus viverrinus (fishing cat) is the source of this 3486-nucleotide RNA transcript. It is a transcript of the gene named cytochrome P450 2C41-like, with no coding region annotated. The transcript has 12 exons. NCBI's taxonomy places the organism in Eukaryota, Metazoa, Chordata, Mammalia, Carnivora, Felidae. The record is from RefSeq and is a predicted model, not a curated record.